Molecule: small nuclear RNA, 108 nt
Organism: Hyaena hyaena (striped hyena)
Lineage: Eukaryota; Metazoa; Chordata; Mammalia; Carnivora; Hyaenidae
Source: RefSeq, a predicted model, not a curated record
GGUCCUUGUUUCAGCAGCCCAUGUACUAAAAUUGGAACGAUACAGAGAAGAUUAGCAUGGCCCCUGUGCAAGUAUGACACACAAAUUUGUAAAAUUGCUUUCACUAUG